UUGAAGAGUUUGAUCAUGGCUCAGAUUGAACGCUGGCGGCAGGCCUAACACAUGCAAGUCGAACGGUAACAGAAAGCAGCUUGCUGCUUUGCUGACGAGUGGCGGACGGGUGAGUAAUGUCUGGGAAACUGCCUGAUGGAGGGGGAUAACUACUGGAAACGGUAGCUAAUACCGCAUAACGUCGCAAGACCAAAGAGGGGGACCUUCGGGCCUCUUGCCAUCGGAUGUGCCCAGAUGGGAUUAGCUAGUAGGUGGGGUAACGGCUCACCUAGGCGACGAUCCCUAGCUGGUCUGAGAGGAUGACCAGCCACACUGGAACUGAGACACGGUCCAGACUCCUACGGGAGGCAGCAGUGGGGAAUAUUGCACAAUGGGCGCAAGCCUGAUGCAGCCAUGCCGCGUGUAUGAAGAAGGCCUUCGGGUUGUAAAGUACUUUCAGCGAGGAGGAAGGUGUUGUGGUUAAUAACCACAGCAAUUGACGUUACUCGCAGAAGAAGCACCGGCUAACUCCGUGCCAGCAGCCGCGGUAAUACGGAGGGUGCAAGCGUUAAUCGGAAUUACUGGGCGUAAAGCGCACGCAGGCGGUUUGUUAAGUCAGAUGUGAAAUCCCCGGGCUCAACCUGGGAACUGCAUUUGAAACUGGCAAGCUUGAGUCUCGUAGAGGGGGGUAGAAUUCCAGGUGUAGCGGUGAAAUGCGUAGAGAUCUGGAGGAAUACCGGUGGCGAAGGCGGCCCCCUGGACGAAGACUGACGCUCAGGUGCGAAAGCGUGGGGAGCAAACAGGAUUAGAUACCCUGGUAGUCCACGCUGUAAACGAUGUCGACUUGGAGGUUGUGCCCUUGAGGCGUGGCUUCCGGAGCUAACGCGUUAAGUCGACCGCCUGGGGAGUACGGCCGCAAGGUUAAAACUCAAAUGAAUUGACGGGGGCCCGCACAAGCGGUGGAGCAUGUGGUUUAAUUCGAUGCAACGCGAAGAACCUUACCUACUCUUGACAUCCACGGAACUUAGCAGAGAUGCUUUGGUGCCUUCGGGAACCGUGAGACAGGUGCUGCAUGGCUGUCGUCAGCUCGUGUUGUGAAAUGUUGGGUUAAGUCCCGCAACGAGCGCAACCCUUAUCCUUUGUUGCCAGCGGUUAGGCCGGGAACUCAAAGGAGACUGCCAGUGAUAAACUGGAGGAAGGUGGGGAUGACGUCAAGUCAUCAUGGCCCUUACGAGUAGGGCUACACACGUGCUACAAUGGCAUAUACAAAGAGAAGCGACCUCGCGAGAGCAAGCGGACCUCAUAAAGUAUGUCGUAGUCCGGAUUGGAGUCUGCAACUCGACUCCAUGAAGUCGGAAUCGCUAGUAAUCGUAGAUCAGAAUGCUACGGUGAAUACGUUCCCGGGCCUUGUACACACCGCCCGUCACACCAUGGGAGUGGGUUGCAAAAGAAGUAGGUAGCUUAACCUUCGGGAGGGCGCUUACCACUUUGUGAUUCAUGACUGGGGUGAAGUCGUAACAAGGUAACCGUAGGGGAACCUGCGGUUGGAUCACCUCCUU
This 1538-nucleotide ribosomal RNA is filed under the name Pseudocitrobacter corydidari. RNAcentral's name for it is "bacterial SSU rRNA". It matches the Rfam family "Bacterial small subunit ribosomal RNA". Lineage: Bacteria; Pseudomonadati; Pseudomonadota; Gammaproteobacteria; Enterobacterales; Enterobacteriaceae. The record is from RNAcentral.